ACUUUUAAAGGAUAAUAGUAAUCCAUUGGUCUUAGACCCCAAAAAUUUUGGUGCAAAUCCAUAUAAAAGUU
RNAcentral lists this transfer RNA (71 nucleotides) under Schistometopum thomense. RNAcentral describes it as "tRNA-Leu". It matches the Rfam family "tRNA". Rfam says of the family: Transfer RNA (tRNA) molecules are approximately 80 nucleotides in length. Their secondary structure includes four short double-helical elements and three loops (D, anti-codon, and T loops). Further hydrogen bonds mediate the characteristic L-shaped molecular structure. tRNAs have two regions of fundamental functional importance: the anti-codon, which is responsible for specific mRNA codon recognition, and the 3' end, to which the tRNAs corresponding amino acid is attached (by aminoacyl-tRNA synthetases). tRNAs cope with the degeneracy of the genetic code in two manners: having more than one tRNA (with a specific anti-codon) for a particular amino acid; and 'wobble' base-pairing, i.e. permitting non-standard base-pairing at the 3rd anti-codon position. The record is from RNAcentral. Lineage: Eukaryota; Metazoa; Chordata; Amphibia; Gymnophiona; Dermophiidae.